GUAAAUAUAGUUUAAAUAAAACUCUAGAUUGUGAAUCUAGCAACAGAAACUCCAACCUUCUUAUUUACC
Molecule: transfer RNA, 69 nt
Filed under: Pachylemur jullyi
Lineage: Eukaryota; Metazoa; Chordata; Mammalia; Primates; Lemuridae
Description: tRNA-His
Rfam family: tRNA
About the family: Transfer RNA (tRNA) molecules are approximately 80 nucleotides in length. Their secondary structure includes four short double-helical elements and three loops (D, anti-codon, and T loops). Further hydrogen bonds mediate the characteristic L-shaped molecular structure. tRNAs have two regions of fundamental functional importance: the anti-codon, which is responsible for specific mRNA codon recognition, and the 3' end, to which the tRNAs corresponding amino acid is attached (by aminoacyl-tRNA synthetases). tRNAs cope with the degeneracy of the genetic code in two manners: having more than one tRNA (with a specific anti-codon) for a particular amino acid; and 'wobble' base-pairing, i.e. permitting non-standard base-pairing at the 3rd anti-codon position.
Source: RNAcentral